UACGUAGGGGGCUAGCGUUGUCCGGAAUCAUUGGGCGUAAAGAGCGUGUAGGCGGCCCGGUAAGUCCGCUGUGAAAGUCGGGGGCUCAACCCUCGAAUGCCGGUGGAUACUGUCGGGCUAGAGUGCGGAAGAGGCGAGUGGAAUUCCUGGUGUAGCGGUGAAAUGCGUAGAUAUCGGGAAGAACACCCGUGGCGAAGGCGGUUCUCUGGGACGGUACUGACGCUGAGACGCGAAAGCGUGGGGAGCGAACAGG
Molecule: ribosomal RNA, 253 nt
Filed under: uncultured bacterium
Lineage: Bacteria
Description: partial 16S ribosomal RNA
Rfam family: Bacterial small subunit ribosomal RNA
Source: RNAcentral